UUGAGUUUGAUGAUGGCUCUGAUUGAACGCUGUCCAAAUGCUUGACACAUGCUAAUCGUACGACAAACUUUUAAAUUACAGUUUGUAGUGGUGAACAGGUGAGUAAGCGGUAAUUGUACUGCCUUAAAGUAAGGAUUAAAAUCCCUUAUAUGUCGAAAUCUAAGAUAAAGAAAAUUAUAUUCGCUUUAAGAUGUAUUUUUACCCCGGGAAAGUAGUAGUUAAGGUAAUUGCUUAACUAGCGUGAAUCCCGUAGUCGAAACUGAGAGGUUGAUCGACCACAUUGGGUCUGAAAAAACCCCAAUACGAAUAGUGCAGCAGUGAGGAAUUUUGGUCAAUGGCCUAACGGCUGAACCAGCAAUUUGGGUGAACGGAAAAGCAUUUUUGUAAAAUGUAGUUUUUUCUGGCUUUACGGCCAGCUAUCUUUAAUAGAGCCGGUGUUCUAUGGGUAGAAAAGUUAAUACUUUUUUUGAAAGCUUCGGCUUUUAGUGAUUUAUUCGCAUAAAGUUCUAUAUAGAAUACAGAUAAUGACUAUUUUCUAUAUAAAAGUCUUGACCAAAACACGUGCCAGCAGUCGCGGCAACACGGGACAGACUAGUGUUAUUCAUCUUUAAUAGGUUUAAAGGGUACCUAGACGGCAAAUGUCACCCCCAUAUUAGGAAUGGUACGUUUUUGCUAGAGUUUUAUAUGAGAGGUUUUUAGUACUAGCGGAGUAGAGAUGAAAUUCUUUGAUACUGUAGGGCACUGAUAACGGCGAAGGCAGACCUUUAUGUAAAAACUGACGUUGAGGGACGAAGGCUUGGGUAACAAACAGGAUUAGGUACCCUAAUAGUCCAAGCAGAGAAUGAUGAGUGUCAUAGACUAGAUAUAUUUUUGGUUUAUAAAUGAAAGUGCAAACACUCCACCUUAAGAGUAAUGCGGCAACGCAGGAACUGAAAUCAUUAGACCGUUUCUGAUACCAGUAGUGAAGUAUGUUGUUUAAUUCGAUGAUCCACGAAAAAUCUUACCACAAUUUGAAUAUUAUAGCAACAUAUGGAAAGUCAUAUUUUUUUGAAGAAAUUGCUAUUAAUACAGGUGCUGCAUGGCUGUCUUCAGUUGGUGUCGUGAGAUGCAGGUUAGAUCCGGUAAUCAACGUAUAACCCUUAUUUUAUUUUUAUAAAUAGAGUAGCUUCUUCUGAGAUAUUGGGAGAUAAAUGGGACCAAGACAAGUCCUCAUGGCCCUAAUAUUGUGGGCAAUAGACGUGCCACAUAUACCUUGACAAAGGGGUGCUAUAAUGUGAAUAUUAAGCUAAUCUCUAAAAAUUGGUUAAAAUAAGGAUUGUAGUCUGAAACUCGACUACAUGAAUAAGGAAUUACUAGUAAUCGUGAAUCACCAUGUCACGGUGAAUAUUAUCUCAGACAGGUACUAACCACUCGUCACAUGCCGAAAGGAGUAUGUGCAAUAAGUUUGGUUACUAUUAGCUUAUCCAAGAGAUUUAAACGAAUCUCUAUAUGUUAAUAAAUAAUCUUCGUAUGCGUGACUCUGAUUGGUGUUAAGUCGAAAUACGGUUCGUGUAGUGGAAAUUGCACGGGAUUAAUAAAAGUUAAAA
RNAcentral lists this ribosomal RNA (1586 nucleotides) under Arthonia rubella. RNAcentral's name for it is "SSU rRNA". It matches the Rfam family "Bacterial small subunit ribosomal RNA". The record is from RNAcentral. Lineage: Eukaryota; Fungi; Ascomycota; Arthoniomycetes; Arthoniales; Arthoniaceae.